UCUGUAACAAGCAAGAUGUCCGACAAAUACGAUCAUCAAAAGGAUGAAGAAAUCAGGGAUGGGGACUCAAGGGAUGAAGAGUGGGGAACUGGUGGAAGCAGUGGUGUGGAACAAUGAUAAUAAGGAUUAUGAUGGCCCAGCCGGUAUGGAUGUUGAUGGAAUCAUCGAGUCCACAUGGACAGAGGUUGCUACAAGCUUUGAUGACAUGAACCUCAAUGAAUCCCUACUUAGAGGUAUCUAUGCCUAUGGUUUGAGAAACCUUCAGCCAUCCAGCAACGUGCCAUUAUGCCUUGUAUCAAGGGCCACGAUGCCAUUGCCCAGGCUCAGUCUGGUACUGGCAAAACUGCUACUUUCUCCAUUGCAAUCCUUCAGAGGAUUGACUCCAAAUCCCAAGAAACCCAGGCUCUCAUCCUGGCCCCUACCCGAGAAUUGGCCCAGCAGGUAAGCAUGGAACUAAAAGGUGUGCUUGCUCUUGGCGACUACAUGAAUGUAUCUUGCCAUGCCUGUAUUGGUGGCACAAAUCUCCGUGAGGACAUGCGUCGCCUUGAGAUGGGUGUACAGAUCAUUGUAGGUACCCCUGGCCGAGUGUAUGACAUGAUCAAUCGCCGAGUCUUAGAGCCGAAGGACAUCAAGAUGUUCGUUCUUGAUGAGGCUGAUGAGAUGUUGUCACGUGGUUUCAAGGACCAGAUCUACGAUGUCUUCCGGUUCCUCCCCCACGAUGUGCAGGUUGUGUUGCUCUCUGCUACCAUGCCUGCUGAUGUCAUGGAUGUAACCACCAAGUUCAUGCGAAAGCCAAUCACCAUCUUGGUCAAGAAGGAGGAGCUGACCCUUGAAGGUAUCAAGCAGUUCUAUGUGAAUGUUGAGAAGGAAGACUGGAAGUUAGAGACCCUGUGUGAUCUGUACGAAACUCUCACCAUCACCCAAGCUGUUAUCUUCUGUAACACCCGAAGGAAGGUGGAUUGGCUUACCGACAAAAUGCACCAGCGUGACUUCACAGUGUCUGCUAUGCACGGUGACAUGGACCAGAAGGAGCGUGACGUCAUCAUGCGCGAGUUCCGCUCUGGAUCAUCCCGUGUUCUGAUCACAACUGACUUAUUGGCCCGUGGUAUCGAUGUACAGCAGGUGUCCCUUGUCAUUAACUAUGACCUUCCUACAAACAGGGAAAACUACAUUCAUAGGAUUGGUCGUGGUGGACGAUUCGGUCGAAAGGGUGUAGCCAUUAAUUUUGUGACUGCUGACGACGCUAGAAUUCUCCAGGACAUUGAAGAACACUACCGAACCUCUAUUGAAGAGAUGCCCAUGAAUGUUGCGGAUUUGAUUUAAACUAGGUGAGAGACUAGCAACAAUAAGGCCUCAGUUAUUGUUGCUCCGACCUGCGCUGUGUUUUGACGCCAUUUGUGCACGCUGCCCCCAUUGAGAGCUGGCAUCGUGAUCUACUUGAGAGCUUGGACGCAUCUGAUCUGAGUCUUGUUACAGUGUCCGAGCCCUAUCUGAACAGUGUCUCCUGGGAUCCUCAUAUCAGCCUACCACUAGAGCUUGUGGUUCCAGGUGGACAUAUUAUAUUGCCUGUAUAUUGUGAAUAUUCAGGUGUUUUCCAUGGUUUCCAGAAGUAGCUAGUUUUAGUUAUAAGAGUCAAAGGGGCCUGAGCCCUUUUAUUUUUAAUUUGUGGAAAACUUUCAUACAUAAUUGUGAAUUUAGAUAAACUAGAGGGUUUAGGCAUCAGAACCGCUCCUAGGAAGCGGCGGCAGCCUGUCCACCCUCAGCCAACCUUCCUCUUCCCUCUUUUCUGUCUUCCUCUUCCACUUCUUCUUCUUCCUCAUUCUUUGCUCUUCUUUCGAUGCUAUAUAUAUCUCUCUGUUUUCAUGUCAUCCAUGAUGAUACCAGCCUUUUACAUAUUCCUUCGUCUUGUGUUUGCCUUAAGCAUGGGAAUUGAACACGGAUAUCAUUUUAAUUACACCUAUAGUAAGUCAGAGGUUAAAAUGAGUUUUUUCAGCAAUAUUGUCACUGUAUCCUGCAUCUCUUUUAUUUGUCAAAGAAAAAUAGUAUUAGGUAUAUGGCACGGAUAUUAUAUCCAGAAAAGGCGCCGGCGGAAAUCUUUGUUUAUGAUGUAUGGAACCUCUUGGUGUAUUUAUUAAUAAAACUUGUAAACACCACA
This is a non-coding RNA of Penaeus vannamei (Pacific white shrimp), 2155 nucleotides long. NCBI's taxonomy places the organism in Eukaryota, Metazoa, Arthropoda, Malacostraca, Decapoda, Penaeidae. The record is from RefSeq and is a predicted model, not a curated record.